Molecule: small nucleolar RNA, 213 nt
Organism: Lycium barbarum (goji berry)
Lineage: Eukaryota; Viridiplantae; Streptophyta; Magnoliopsida; Solanales; Solanaceae
Product: small nucleolar RNA U3
Exons: 1
Source: RefSeq, a predicted model, not a curated record
AGGACCUUACUUGAACAGGAUCUGUUCUAUAGGCUCGUACCACUGUAUCCUUGAGUUCUAAGGAGACAGAACACUAAGUUUGGUUGAUGGCACGUGGCUAUUUGAUCAGAGCGCGAUUAACAACAUCCAUGGCCUUUGGGUCUUGGCGUCAUAGAUGAUCGUUCUCAACUCUGUCAACGAUGUUUGGAUGGUCUAAUGGUUGUCUGACAGACU